RNAcentral lists this ribosomal RNA (385 nucleotides) under Hyphomicrobiales bacterium. RNAcentral's name for it is "bacterial SSU rRNA". It matches the Rfam family "Bacterial small subunit ribosomal RNA", at positions 1 to 416 of the family's 1533-position model. Lineage: Bacteria; Pseudomonadati; Pseudomonadota; Alphaproteobacteria; Hyphomicrobiales. The record is from RNAcentral.
CAACUUGAGAGUUUGAUCCUGGCUCAGAGCGAACGCUGGCGGCAGGCCUAACACAUGCAAGUCGAGCGCCCCGCAAGGGGAGCGGCAGACGGGAGAGUAACACGUGGGAACGUACCCUUCGGUUCGGAACAACCCAGGGAAACUUGGGCUAAUACCGGAUACGUCCGUAAGGAGAAAGAUUCAUCGCCGAGGGAUCGGCCCGCGUCUGAUUAGCUAGUUGGUGGGGUAAUGGCCCACCAAGGCGACGAUCAGUAGCUGGUCUGAGAGGAUGAUCAGCCUCACUGGGACUGAGACACGGCCCAGACUCCUACGGGAGGCAGCAGUGGGGAAUAUUGGACAAUGGGCGCAAGCCUGAUCCAGCCAUGCCGCGUGGGUGAUGAAGGCC